UAAGAUGUGGUUCAGUGGUAGAGCACUUGCCUAGCAUGUGUGAGGUCCUGGGUUUGAUCCCCAUCACCAUAA
This 72-nucleotide transfer RNA is filed under the name Urocitellus parryii (Arctic ground squirrel). Its description in RNAcentral is "Spermophilus parryii (Arctic ground squirrel) tRNA". It matches the Rfam family "tRNA". From Rfam's summary of the family: Transfer RNA (tRNA) molecules are approximately 80 nucleotides in length. Their secondary structure includes four short double-helical elements and three loops (D, anti-codon, and T loops). Further hydrogen bonds mediate the characteristic L-shaped molecular structure. tRNAs have two regions of fundamental functional importance: the anti-codon, which is responsible for specific mRNA codon recognition, and the 3' end, to which the tRNAs corresponding amino acid is attached (by aminoacyl-tRNA synthetases). tRNAs cope with the degeneracy of the genetic code in two manners: having more than one tRNA (with a specific anti-codon) for a particular amino acid; and 'wobble' base-pairing, i.e. permitting non-standard base-pairing at the 3rd anti-codon position. The record is from Rfam by way of RNAcentral. Lineage: Eukaryota; Metazoa; Chordata; Mammalia; Rodentia; Sciuridae. RNAcentral also lists the same sequence under 1 other name.